Molecule: long non-coding RNA, 283 nt
Filed under: Brassica napus (rape)
Lineage: Eukaryota; Viridiplantae; Streptophyta; Magnoliopsida; Brassicales; Brassicaceae
Description: long non-coding RNA (BNAP_LNC017427)
Source: RNAcentral
GAUUUAAGUUUAUCCUUUGGAUUUAGUGUUUAGGUCUUAAGGUUUAUAAUGUGGAGGUAAGAAUUUGGUAAAACAUAAUAGUAGCUCUCAAACAUGUAAUUGAAAUAGUUGUUAGCUUGAUAAAACUUUAUAAGAACAACGAAGUUUUAAUAUUGGUUGUAAAUGGCGAUUAAAUCAUAAUGUAAUAAGUUAUCCUAAGUCUUCUUCUGGUUUUCUUUAUAUAUCAUGACCAACACUCUUUGUGCCUUAGUAUCUAGGAAAGAUGAAAUUGCAAAUAUAUAUA